GAUGAACGCUAGCGGCAGGCUUAACACAUGCAAGUCGAGGGGCAGCGAGAGAGUAGCAAUACUUUUGUCGGCGACCGGCGGACGGGUGCGUAACGCGUAUGCAACCUACCUUAUACAGGGGGAUAACCUUUCGAAAGGGAGACUAAUACCGCAUAACAUUACUUUGAGGCAUCUUGAGGUAAUUAAAUCUUCGGAGGUAUAAGAUGGGCAUGCGUAGCAUUAGCUAGAUGGUGCGGUAACGGCGUACCAUGGCGACGAUACAUAGGGGACUGAGAGGUUAACCCCCACACUGGUACUGAGACACGGACCAGACUCCCACGGGAGGCAGCAGUGAGGAAUAUUGGUCAAUGGACGCAAGUCUGAACCAGCCAUGCCGCGUGCAGGAAGACGGCUCUAUGAGUUGUAAACUGCUUUUGUACAAGGGUAAACCUCGGUACGUGUAACCGAGCUGAAAGUACUGUACGAAUAAGGAUCGGCUAACUCCGUGCCAGCAGCCG
RNAcentral lists this ribosomal RNA (497 nucleotides) under uncultured bacterium. RNAcentral describes it as "bacterial SSU rRNA". It matches the Rfam family "Bacterial small subunit ribosomal RNA", at positions 28 to 517 of the family's 1533-position model. The record is from RNAcentral.